GGCUGGUCCGAUGGUAGUGGGUUACCAGAACUUAGUAACAUUAAUAACUCUAAAGUUAGUAUACAACCCCCCACUGCUAAAUUUGGCUAUAAA
Gorilla gorilla gorilla (western lowland gorilla) is the source of this 93-nucleotide unclassified non-coding RNA. It matches the Rfam family "Y RNA". From Rfam's summary of the family: Y RNAs are components of the Ro ribonucleoprotein particle (Ro RNP), in association with Ro60 and La proteins. The Y RNAs and Ro60 and La proteins are well conserved, but the function of the Ro RNP is not known. The record is from Ensembl. Lineage: Eukaryota; Metazoa; Chordata; Mammalia; Primates; Hominidae.